UGCGUAGGCGGUUUCGAAAGUCCGAUGUGAAAUCCCCGGGCUUAACCUGGGAACUGCGUUGGAAACUACGAGGCUAGAGUGCGGCAGAGGGGGGUGGAAUUCCAGGUGUAGCAGUGAAAUGCGUAGAGAUCUGGAGGAACACCGAUGGCGAAGGCAGCCCCCUGGGCUAGCACUGACGCUGAUACACGAAAGCGUGGGGAGCAAACAGGAUUAGAUACCCUGGUAGUCCACGCCCUAAACGAUGGCAACUAGUUGUUGGAGGAUGAACUCCUUUAGUAACGCAGCUAACGCGUGAAGUUGCCCGCCUGGGGAGUACGGUCGCAAGAUUAAA
RNAcentral lists this ribosomal RNA (331 nucleotides) under uncultured methylotrophic bacterium. RNAcentral's name for it is "bacterial SSU rRNA". It matches the Rfam family "Bacterial small subunit ribosomal RNA", at positions 568 to 898 of the family's 1533-position model. The record is from RNAcentral.